Molecule: ribosomal RNA, 497 nt
Filed under: uncultured bacterium
Lineage: Bacteria
Description: partial 16S ribosomal RNA
Rfam family: Bacterial small subunit ribosomal RNA
Source: RNAcentral
GAUGAACGCUGGCGGCGUGCCUAAUGCAUGCAAGUCGAGCGAACAGACGAGGAGCUUGCUCCUCUGACGUUAGCGGCGGACGGGUGAGUAACACGUGGAUAACCUACCUAUAAGACUGGGAUAACUUCGGGAAACCGGAGCUAAUACCGGAUAAUAUAUUGAACCGCAUGGUUCAAUAGUGAAAGACGGUUUUGCUGUCACUUAUAGAUGGAUCCGCGCCGCAUUAGCUAGUUGGUAAGGUAACGGCUUACCAAGGCAACGAUGCGUAGCCGACCUGAGAGGGUGAUCGGCCACACUGGAACUGAGACACGGUCCAGACUCCUACGGGAGGCAGCAGUAGGGAAUCUUCCGCAAUGGGCGAAAGCCUGACGGAGCAACGCCGCGUGAGUGAUGAAGGUCUUCGGAUCGUAAAACUCUGUUAUUAGGGAAGAACAAAUGUGUAAGUAACUAUGCACGUCUUGACGGUACCUAAUCAGAAAGCUACGGCUAACUACGUG